GCUGUGCCCCUGCCUCUGCCCAGGAGAGGCUAGGAGCAUCCUUCCUUCCCCCUUGCUGUUGUCACACGUCUGCUGGGGGCAGUCGCCCUGGUUGAGAACCCCAUCUCCAGAUGCUCUCCCAUGCCCUGCCUUAGGGCUACCUGGCCCGGAUCUAUACGCAAACCCUGGGCUUUAGACGCAGUCUUUGGAGGGAAACGGAGUGUGUACCCCCCCAGCUGAGCGUGGAGGCUGGGGUGCCCUGGGAAUGCAGCCUGGGGGUGACCUCUGGAGUCUUACUAAGAGAAGUCGGUGGAGGGCAUUGGCUUCCUGGUGGGAAGCUGAGCCUUCCCUUGGGGCUUGAUCAUAUUUCUUGACCCCAGAACGUCUCUUGGUUUUUUCCUCCCUCUUACCAUCCCUCAUCCUCUUCAGGAAAAAAAAAAAAAAAUCUCUUCUGCAAAUUGCCACUUUAUCUGAAUCAUUCCUAUCGGGUGUCUAAUCCCUGCUGAUGGAAGAAGGCUGUUCUGCAUGCGAUCGCCUGCAUUUAUUUACACAUCAGCGGUGAGAGCAGGGCCUGAUGCCUUCGUCUGGAUGACACAGCUGCUCUUUAAAAAAAAAAAGGGCAUCUAUUUAAAAGGCCGUUGCUGGGAAUCAUCAGCUGAAAAACAACGCCGAGAUGGCUGUGCAGUGUGACAAUGGUUCUGGCGCAGCCUGGCCGUGGACGGGGGCCUGUCGCAUUUCUGAUCGAUAAUAAGCUGGUUCAGGAGCGAUGCGCCAGCAUCCCGUGUGCUUGCAACCCACAAUUAGCACACAGAUUGCCCCUCCCUGGAGCCGCGGAGCACGUGCAACGGUGGCUAAACAGAGCCUCAGGCUUCCAGGACUUGCUAGGUGCUCAGGCCCUCCUCUUCCAAGGACUGUGGGCCAGGCCUACCACCCACCCCAGCAGGUGACCAUCAGCAUCUGCACCCUUGACUUGCUCUGCUUGUGGGAGCAUCUUGAGGUGGUCACCUUAUCAGAGGACCCAGGUGACCCAGGGAGCAGUGGCAGACGCAAGACGGGAUGUGUCCCUGUGUGAGUCCUGAUAUCUUUCCACGGGCAGAAGAGGGCAAGUUGUCAUGGGGUUGGUCCUCAGUUAAUGCAUAAUAAUUCUUAAAAACAUAGAAGUAUGUCAAUUAAUAUUAUUUAGUAUUAAAACUUUAAUUCUUAAAACUAAUGCUCAGAUGAACUUUCCGAGUGGCCAAGGGUCCCCUUUGCCCAUCCCCUGAGCCACAAGGCUCAAGAAGGGGGGUUGAUGUCCAGGCUCACCC
RNAcentral lists this long non-coding RNA (1283 nucleotides) under Capra hircus (goat). RNAcentral's name for it is "lncRNA (ENSCHIG00000001605.1)". The record is from RNAcentral. Lineage: Eukaryota; Metazoa; Chordata; Mammalia; Artiodactyla; Bovidae.